UACCAGACUCCUACGGGAGGCAGCAGUGAGGAAUAUUGGUCAAUGGGCGCGAGCCUGAACCAGCCAAGUCGCGUGAGGGAUGAAGGAUCUAUGGUUCGUAAACCUCUUUUAUAAGGGAAUAAAGUGCGGGACGCGUCCCGCUUCGCAUGUGCCUUAUGAAUAAGGAUCGGCUAACUCCGUGCCAGCAGCCGCGGUAAUACGGAGGAUCCGAGCGUUAUCCGGAUUUAUUGGGUUUAAAGGGUGCGUAGGCGGCCUUUUAAGUCAGCGGUAAAAAGUCGGGGCUCAACCCCGUCCGGCCGUUGAAACUGGGGGCCUUGAGUGGGCGAGAAGAAGGCGGAAUGCGUGGUGUAGCGGUGAAAUGCAUAGAUAUCACGCAGAACUCCGAUUGCGAAGGCAGCGCACCGGCGCCCUACUGACGCUCAGGCACGAAAGCGUGGGUAUCGAACAGGAUUAGAUACCCCAGUA
This 465-nucleotide ribosomal RNA is filed under the name uncultured bacterium. RNAcentral describes it as "bacterial SSU rRNA". It matches the Rfam family "Bacterial small subunit ribosomal RNA", at positions 329 to 792 of the family's 1533-position model. The record is from RNAcentral.